AUUGAACGCUGGCGGCAGGCCUAACACAUGCAAGUCGAACGGUAGCACAGAGAGCUUGCUCUCGGGUGACGAGUGGCGGACGGGUGAGUAACGUCUGGGAAACUGCCCGAUGGAGGGGGAUAACUACUGGAAACGGUAGCUAAUACCGCAUAACGUCGCAAGACCAAAGUGGGGACCUUCGGGCCUCACACCAUCGGAUGUGCCCGGAUGGGAUUAGCUAGUAGGUGGGGUAAUGGCUCACCUAGGCGACGAUCCCUAGCUGGUCUGAGAGGAUGACCAGCCACACUGGAACUGAGACACGGUCCAGACUCCUACGGGAGGCAGCAGUGGGGAAUAUUGCACAAUGGGCGCAAGCCUGAUGCAGCCAUGCCGCGUGUAUGAAGAAGGCCUUCGGGUUGUAAAGUACUUUCAGCGGGGAGGAAGGCGGUGAAGUUAAUAGCUUCACCGAUUGACGUUACCCGCAGAAGAAGCACCGGCUAACUCCGUGCCAGCCGCCGCAGUAA
Molecule: ribosomal RNA, 503 nt
Filed under: uncultured bacterium
Lineage: Bacteria
Description: partial 16S ribosomal RNA
Rfam family: Bacterial small subunit ribosomal RNA
Source: RNAcentral